This 92-nucleotide small RNA is filed under the name Salmonella enterica. RNAcentral describes it as "partial RtT sRNA". It matches the Rfam family "RtT RNA", at positions 1 to 91 of the family's 130-position model. Rfam says of the family: This family represents a bacterial cis-regulatory element known as RtT RNA. The exact function of RtT is unknown although it is thought that it may be involved in changing the cellular response in relation to amino acid starvation. The record is from RNAcentral. RNAcentral also lists the same sequence under 1 other name. Lineage: Bacteria; Pseudomonadati; Pseudomonadota; Gammaproteobacteria; Enterobacterales; Enterobacteriaceae.
AUUCUACCCAUGUGGGGAAGGAUGAGAAGCUUCGACUAAGGUUCGAUUCGAGCGCAGCGAGAAAGCGUUGCCGCAGGCAACGACCCGAAGGG